GACGAACGCUGGCGGCGUGCUUAACACAUGCAAGUCGAACGGUGAAGCGCCUUCCUUUUUGGUGGGUGUGGAUGAGUGGCGAACGGGUGAGUAACACGUGAGUAACCUGCCCCCUUCUUCUGGAUAACCGCAUGAAAGUGUGGCUAAUACGGGAUAUUCUGGGUCUGUCGCAUGAUGGGUCUGGGAAAGAUAUUGUUUCGGUGGGGGAUGGGCUCGCGGCCUAUCAGCUUGUUGGUGGGGUGAUGGCCUACCAAGGCGGUGACGGGUAGCCGGCCGGAGAGGGUGGACGGUCACACUGGGACUGAGACACGGCCCAGACUCCUACGGGAGGCAGCAGUGGGGAAUAUUGCACAAUGGGCGCAAGCCUGAUGCAGCGACGCCGCGUGAGGGAUGGAGGCCUUCGGGUUGUGAACCUCUUUCGCCAGUGAAGCAGGCCUGCCUCGUUUGUGGGUGGGUUGACGGUAGCUGGAUAAGAAGCGCCGGCUAACUACGUG
Molecule: ribosomal RNA, 494 nt
Filed under: uncultured bacterium
Lineage: Bacteria
Description: partial 16S ribosomal RNA
Rfam family: Bacterial small subunit ribosomal RNA
Source: RNAcentral